This 185-nucleotide non-coding RNA is filed under the name Thiohalocapsa sp. PB-PSB1. Its description in RNAcentral is "uncultured Thiohalocapsa sp. PB-PSB1 6S / SsrS RNA". It matches the Rfam family "6S / SsrS RNA". From Rfam's summary of the family: E. coli 6S RNA was the first non coding RNA to be sequenced, but its function was unknown until recently. The record is from Rfam by way of RNAcentral. RNAcentral also lists the same sequence under 1 other name. Lineage: Bacteria; Pseudomonadati; Pseudomonadota; Gammaproteobacteria; Chromatiales; Chromatiaceae.
CAUCCCCUGCAGUGUGCGACAGCGGCCUGGGUAUUUUCUUGAGCCUAAUGCAUACCCCGGGGACACUCAAACUGGGCCGUUGUGCAUGUCCGCCCCGAGCGGGAAGCCUGAAGCCCCAUCGAGAGUCCCCACUUGAACCGCUUGGUUCAAGAACGAAGGAUCGCAUCGGCACAGGCGGGGGAUGU